This 459-nucleotide ribosomal RNA is filed under the name uncultured bacterium. RNAcentral describes it as "partial 16S ribosomal RNA". It matches the Rfam family "Bacterial small subunit ribosomal RNA", at positions 338 to 795 of the family's 1533-position model. The record is from RNAcentral.
CCUACGGGAGGCAGCAGUGAGGAAUAUUGGUCAAUGGGCGGGAGCCUGAACCAGCCAAGCCGCGUGAGGGAAGAAGGUACAGCGUAUCGUAAACCUCUUUUGUCAGGGAACAAAGGCGGGGACUAGUCCCCGGAUGAGGGUACCUGAAGAAAAAGCAUCGGUGAACUCCGUGCCAGCAGCCGCGGUAAUACGGAGGAUGAGAGCGUUAUCAGAAUUUAUUGGGUUUAAAGGGUGAGCAGGGGGCCUGUUAAGUCAGCGGUAAAAGCCCGGGGCUAAACCCCGUUGAGCAGUUGAAACUGGCAGGCUGGAGUAGGAGAGAAGUACGCGGAAUGCGCGGGGUAGCGGUGAAAUGCUUAGAUAUCGCGCAGAACCCCGAUUGCGAAGGCAGCGUACCGGCUCCACACUGACGCUGAGGCACGAAAGCGUGGGUAUCGAACAGGAUUAGAUACCCUGGUAGUC